UACGAAGGGGGCAAGCGUUACUCGGAAUUACUGGGCGUAAAGCGCGUGUAGGCGGUGUAUCAAGUCAGAUGUGAAAUCCCAAGGCUUAACCUUGGAACUGCAUUUGAAACUGAUACGCUUGAAUCUGGUAGAGGAUAGUGGAAUUCCUAGUGUAGUAGUGAAAUACGUAGAUAUUAGGAGGAACACCAGUGGCGAAGGCGGCUAUCUGGACCAGUAUUGACGCUAAGACGCGAAAGCGUGGGGAGCAAACAGG
This 253-nucleotide ribosomal RNA is filed under the name uncultured bacterium. RNAcentral describes it as "partial 16S ribosomal RNA". It matches the Rfam family "Bacterial small subunit ribosomal RNA", at positions 524 to 776 of the family's 1533-position model. The record is from RNAcentral.